Molecule: long non-coding RNA, 1151 nt
Filed under: Sus scrofa (pig)
Lineage: Eukaryota; Metazoa; Chordata; Mammalia; Artiodactyla; Suidae
Description: lncRNA (ENSSSCG00045003326.1)
Source: RNAcentral
AUGAGGAAGCCUUCACACCACAGCUUUUCCUGUUCCAGAAAUCCUGAAGGUCGAUGCCCGGACAUCCAAUUAAUCCUCAGCCUUGGUUCCGUCGUAUUUCAGACACAGGCCUGGGUCAUUAGCUCCAAAGGCCGCAGGAGCCAAGACGCAUGCGCCUCUCUUGAAGCCAAGACAGUCUGUCUCGGCCGCACAGCUUCCUUGUUAUGCUUCACGUGGGUGUCCUGCGUGGCCAGGAAGUUCUGCAGGAAAAAUUCCCCCAGGUUUGUUUACCGCUUUGAUGAAGCCCCAGCAUUUCACAAGCGCUCCACGAUGUGCCAGGCGUUUGGACUCAGCGACCAGCCAGGCGCAGACCACAUAGGACCAGCCGCCUGGCCGCAGCAAGAAGCUGUCUCUUAAGGUGAAGCCCCAGCAAAGAAGUUUUCUUGGACACGGUGAGCAGAGAGAGAUGUGGGAGCCCUGUGUUGGGGCAAGUGGGGACAGGCCAGCCUGCCCUCUUCCUAGUGACCAGGAAAGGCCUCCUGCACAGCUGCACCUUUGGGAGUGUCCUGGUGGACCGAAGGAGCCCCUGGCCAGAUGCCGAGCAUGCUGCUCAAGACAAGGAUCUGGAGGCGGCUGUGGGGGCGCUGAACAAAGCAGGUGUUGAGUGAAUUCCCCAAGAAAGAGCGGUGGAAAGAGUGGGAGAAUUGGGGAGUGUGUUUGCUCUGAUUACAAAAGUCAUAUAUAUUCAUGGUAGAACACCUGUUUAUGUUAAAAAAAGAAAGAAAGGAAGAAAGAAAGAAGACAGCCAUAGUCCCAACCAAAAGAAAACCCCUCAACUCAUUCUGGUGUGGUUUUCCCCAAGUUUCAAAUUUUUUCUAUGCACAGUUUACAUAUGAGUGGUCAGUUUAUAACCCACCAGUUUUUAACUUGCUUUUUUGCACUUACUGUAAGAUAAAAGUAUUUUCCCCAAUCACUAAAUUCUUCUAAUGGUGCAUAUCAUUCCACCUUUGGAACAUGGCACGGUGUAGGCUAGCCUGCUCUUGGACAUUUAGCUUUUUGACUGUUCGGAACAACACCAGAUUAGUGACCUUGUGUGUACAAAAUAGAGUCCACCUCACCUCUCACUCUGCAUUCAGGUGCUGUUAUUGUCAUUUUCUCUGGCUAGGUUCCCA